GUGGGGAAUAUUGGACAAUGGGCGCAAGCCUGAUCCAGCAAUGCCGCGUGAGUGAUGAAGGCCUUAGGGUUGUAAAGCUCUUUUACCCGGGAAGAUAAUGACUGUACCGGGAGAAUAAGCCCCGGCUAACUCCGUGCCAGCAGCCGCGGUAAUACGGAGGGGGCUAGCGUUGUUCGGAAUUACUGGGCGUAAAGCGUACGUAGGCGGUUUUGUAAGUUAGAGGUGAAAGCACGGAGCUCAACUCCGGAACUGCCUUUAAGACUGCAUCACUUGAACGUCGGAGAGGUGAGUGGAAUUCCGAGUGUAGAGGUGAAAUUCGUAGAUAUUCGGAAGAACACCAGUGGCGAAGGCGGCUCACUGGACGACUGUUGACGCUGAGGUACGAAAGCGUGGGGAGCAAACAGGAUUAGAUACCCGAGUAGUCC
This 425-nucleotide ribosomal RNA is filed under the name uncultured bacterium. RNAcentral describes it as "partial 16S ribosomal RNA". It matches the Rfam family "Bacterial small subunit ribosomal RNA", at positions 354 to 796 of the family's 1533-position model. The record is from RNAcentral.